This is a long non-coding RNA of Homo sapiens (human), 326 nucleotides long. RefSeq lists it as uncharacterized. The record is from RefSeq and is a predicted model, not a curated record. NCBI's taxonomy places the organism in Eukaryota, Metazoa, Chordata, Mammalia, Primates, Hominidae. The transcript has 4 exons.
AUCAACUGCUGCUAUGAAAGUUAUUUGGGAUCAUGUAGAUGACCUUUCAUGCAAAAAGUAGAUCACAAAAUAAAUAAUUGGAGUUUUAGAAGACUUGAACUCUACAGCAUAGAGAAACCAACAAAACCAACCUAAUAAAAAUAUUGCAUCUUAAAGGAUCCAAGGUCAUCAAGAGCAGGGGGCCAUAGAGCUUAAUUUUUUUUAGUGUUAUUCAAGCAUCUAAAACAGCCAGACACACUACAUGCUUAUCCCUAGAGAUACAGACUUGACCUAGGGUAGAAACAAGCUGCACCACCUCCAGCAAUGGUUCUGAAAAGGCACUCUUC